UGGGAAUUUUGGACAAUGGGCGCAAGCCUGAUCCAGCCAUGCCGCGUGCGGGAAGAAGGCCUUCGGGUUGUAAACCGCUUUUGUCAGGGAAGAAAUCUUCUGAGUUAAUACCUCGGGAGGAUGACGGUACCUGAAGAAUAAGCACCGGCUAACUACGUGCCAGCAGCCGCGGUAAUACGUAGGGUGCAAGCGUUAAUCGGAAUUACUGGGCGUAAAGCGUGCGCAGGCGGUUUUGUAAGACAGAGGUGAAAUCCCCGGGCUCAACCUGGGAACUGCCUUUGUGACUGCAAGGCUUGAGUGCGGCAGAGGGGGAUGGAAUUCCGCGUNUAGCGUGAAAUGCGUAGAUAUGCGGAGGAACACCGAUGGCGAAGCAAUCCCGUGGGCUGCACUGACGCUCAUGCACGAAAGCGU
Molecule: ribosomal RNA, 411 nt
Filed under: uncultured bacterium
Lineage: Bacteria
Description: partial 16S ribosomal RNA
Rfam family: Bacterial small subunit ribosomal RNA
Source: RNAcentral